UGUGUAUGAUGAAAUAAACCAACAGACGACCCUGAAUAACGAAGUGUCAAAAGAUCAAAUGUCAGUGUCUACUGAUAAUGGUGAUCACUAUGAUGCCAUAUGCAUGGAUGUUGCAAUACAAAGUUCAGUGAAUGAUGGGUAAACUCAUAGAUCAAAAAUUAAUGCAGACAAGACACAUUGUUAGAAACCAAAGACUGGGGUUGUGUGAAUUAGAAUAGUAA
RNAcentral lists this long non-coding RNA (221 nucleotides) under Mytilus galloprovincialis (Mediterranean mussel). The record is from RNAcentral. Lineage: Eukaryota; Metazoa; Mollusca; Bivalvia; Mytilida; Mytilidae.